GUCUUGAUAAGAUCCUUAGGUUGUCACGAGCGCGUAGGAAUUCGCGGAUCUCAAUUUGGAUACCGUUUGAGCCUCGAACGGAUUUUACAUAUUGUGCGAUUUCCGGGUUUAAUAAUGUUGAGCCAUUGGAUCGUAAUUAGUUUCAGAUAUGUUACUCUAGACAAUUUCAGAAUCAUGUAGGAUUUGACGGAUCGUGCAUCGGAGUCCCGG
This 210-nucleotide long non-coding RNA is filed under the name Prunus persica (peach). RNAcentral's name for it is "long non-coding RNA (PPER_LNC008540)". Lineage: Eukaryota; Viridiplantae; Streptophyta; Magnoliopsida; Rosales; Rosaceae. The record is from RNAcentral.